RNAcentral lists this transfer RNA (69 nucleotides) under Falco tinnunculus (common kestrel). Its description in RNAcentral is "tRNA-Thr". It matches the Rfam family "tRNA". Rfam says of the family: Transfer RNA (tRNA) molecules are approximately 80 nucleotides in length. Their secondary structure includes four short double-helical elements and three loops (D, anti-codon, and T loops). Further hydrogen bonds mediate the characteristic L-shaped molecular structure. tRNAs have two regions of fundamental functional importance: the anti-codon, which is responsible for specific mRNA codon recognition, and the 3' end, to which the tRNAs corresponding amino acid is attached (by aminoacyl-tRNA synthetases). tRNAs cope with the degeneracy of the genetic code in two manners: having more than one tRNA (with a specific anti-codon) for a particular amino acid; and 'wobble' base-pairing, i.e. permitting non-standard base-pairing at the 3rd anti-codon position. RNAcentral also lists the same sequence under 2 other names. The record is from RNAcentral. Lineage: Eukaryota; Metazoa; Chordata; Aves; Falconiformes; Falconidae.
ACUCUAAUAGUUUAUAAAAACAUUGGUCUUGUAAACCAAAGAAUGAAGGCCCACAACCUUCUUAGAGUU